UUUAAACUGUCAAACGUUGGCCCAACGUUGGUUCGUUGUUAGAUUUUAAACCCGACAAUGAAUUUUUUAUUUUUUGAGAAAUUUAGUGGAGCAUUGUAAAUUGUAUUGGGCUUAAUUAUUUAAAACUGUUGGGCCAUAGAUGUUGGCCAUUGUUGCUCUGUUGAGGGAUGUUAAUUGUUUAUAUAAAUCUGAUGAGCUGUAUGUACACGUGUAGCUGGAGCGCCUAUUGCAUAACGAAUCUUAAAGUGUCGAAAUUAAGAGGCAGACGGAGCUCCUUUACUGCCCAAGUAUCUAGGUCAGUGCUACUCACAGCAUGGGACUGGCCAGUUUCCUUGGAGAUCGGUCAUCUGAUAUAACCAGGAUGGUCAAAACUGCCACGUUUUAUUUGGAAUAUAUUGCAACCGUUGUGCGUGUACACCUAUAGUAAAUAGUGUUUUUUCUACUCUACGAAUUAUACAUUAGAAGAGUGGGGAUAUAUAUGCUACAAAAACCGCAGUAAGAAAAAAACAGACUGUGUGCCUCUGCAACAAAUAUAGAGAUAGGGAAGGACGGGUUCCGUUUUUCAAAGACCGUGAAGGUGAAGGGAAAAAAAGGAAAAAAGAAAAAAAGCAAGGAGGUAACCCAAGCCACUGAACAUGCUGAAGCCAGUGACCCGGACAGUGAUCAGACCCUACAGUUCGAUUGUUACUAAGGAAUUUACAUAGACAAAGAAAUAUGCUAGCGAUUCUUUUUAAUUCUAAAAAGUGUUUAAAUGUAUUGUAAAUUUUUACUAAGAAAAAAUAAAAUCUGUAUACUAUG
Magallana angulata is the source of this 798-nucleotide long non-coding RNA. RefSeq lists it as uncharacterized. Lineage: Eukaryota; Metazoa; Mollusca; Bivalvia; Ostreida; Ostreidae. The transcript is spliced from 2 exons. The record is from RefSeq and is a predicted model, not a curated record.